This is an RNA transcript of Cucumis melo (muskmelon), 3717 nucleotides long. It is a transcript of the gene named D-xylose-proton symporter-like 3, chloroplastic, with no coding region annotated. NCBI's taxonomy places the organism in Eukaryota, Viridiplantae, Streptophyta, Magnoliopsida, Cucurbitales, Cucurbitaceae. The transcript has 16 exons. The record is from RefSeq and is a predicted model, not a curated record.
CAACACACAAUAGAUAAAACAUCAAAUGACAUGCAGCAGUUUGCAAUGUCCAAAUUCAUCUCUCUUUCUCUGUGAUCCCUCUGCCAUUUCCAUGGCAUUUUCUUUGCCCAUUCGACCUCUCUUCACUCAUAAGCCCUCUCUUUCCUGCACGCGUAAAGCCCAUUUGAAGGCUUCCCAAGUUCUCUUCUCCUCUAUUCCCACUACCCCAUUGCUAGUUUCAUCAUUCACUGCCAAUUUAGAGGCCUCAUUCCAUAACCCAAUUUCUUCUUCAUCUGUUUCCAAGCUCAGGCUCAUUCCCAAGGUUGGUGGUGAUCGGGCUGAUUAUUCAUCUGGGGAGGAAGAAACCAAAUCGGUUGAUUCUGAAGCAGCCAAUGAAGAGGAGUUUUCUUGGUCUUCUGUCAUUUUGCCGUUCUUGUUCCCUGCCUUGGGAGGUUUGUUGUUUGGAUAUGACAUUGGUGCCACAUCUGGAGCUACUCUCUCAUUGCAGUCACCAGAGCUUAGUGGUACCAGUUGGUUUAACCUCUCUGCCGUUCAACUUGGUCUUGUGGUUAGUGGCUCUCUGUAUGGAGCACUUCUUGGUUCCCUCCUUGUGUAUCCAAUUGCAGAUUUUCUCGGACGAAGGAGGGAAUUGAUUAUAGCAGCUGGAUUAUAUGCAAUUGGUAGCCUUACCACUGCUUAUAGCCCUGACCUGGGGGUUCUUCUGGCAGGAAGACUUCUCUAUGGCCUUGGCAUUGGUCUGGCCAUGCAUGGAGCUCCACUUUAUAUAGCUGAAACAUGUCCAUCCAAGAUUCGAGGAACUUUAGUAUCUUUGAAGGAGCUGUUUAUAGUGCUAGGAAUUUUGAUGGGGUAUUUAGUUGGCAGUCUUCAGAUUAAUGCGGUUGGAGGGUGGCGAUAUAUGUAUGGACUUAGUGCACCGGUUGCUUUCAUGAUGGGAUUAGGAAUGUGGCUUCUCCCGCCAUCACCUCGUUGGUUACUUCUCAGAGCCGUUCAAGGUAAAGCGCCUUCACAGGAUUCUAAAGAGGAAGCCAUUGUGGCCUUGAGUAAACUUAGAGGACGACCUCCUGGUGAUAAAGUAUCUGAGAAGCAAAUAGAAGAAACGUUUCUCUCUCUGAAAUCUGCCUAUUCAGAGCAGGAAUCUGAAGGGAGUAUUUGGGAGGUCUUUCAAGGCCCGAGUUUGAAAGCCUUCAUAAUUGGUGGAGGUUUGGUUCUUUUUCAGCAGAUAACUGGACAGCCGAGUGUUCUAUAUUAUGCAGGUCCCAUUCUUCAGAAUGCAGGAUUUGCUGCUGCCACUGACGCAACCAGAGUCUCAGUUGUUAUUGGGGUGUUUAAGUUGCUUAUGACGUGGGUAGCUGUGCUAAAAGUUGAUGAUCUUGGAAGAAGGCCUUUGCUCAUUGGAGGUGUUAGUGGAAUUGCGCUUUCCUUGCUUCUUCUUUCGGCCUACUACAAAUUUCUUGGUGGGUUCCCCAUUGUUGCUGUAGGUGCCCUGCUUUUGUAUGUAGGAUGUUACCAGAUAUCCUUUGGACCAAUCAGUUGGCUUAUGGUGUCUGAAAUAUUUCCACUUCGAACUAGAGGGAAAGGAAUCAGUCUUGCAGUUCUUACUAACUUUGGUUCAAAUGCUAUUGUCACAUUUGCAUUUUCACCUCUAAAGGAGUUGCUUGGAGCAGAAAACCUUUUCCUUCUUUUUGGUGCCAUUGCAUUGCUUUCACUUCUUUUUGUAGUUCUCCAAGUUCCCGAGACCAAAGGUCUAAGUCUGGAAGAUAUAGAAUCCAAAAUCUUGAAGUGAUAUACACCCAAUGGCCAAAUUCUCCUCUCAUGAGAUGUCAGUAAUUUAAACGUUUGUUUGCAGCAGUUGAAUUGCCUAAAUUUUACAGAAUCACUGCAACAUAUUUUUCGCUUGGAGAUGCUGACAUGACUGGAAUCUGUUGAAUAUCUAAAUAUAAAGUGGCUACAAAACAACUGUCUCAAAUUGAAUAAGUGCUGUAAAAGUAGAAACAGGAAGUUGCAGAAACUCACCUCUAUGGGUGGUGGUAAAGACUGGCGCGCUCGCUGAAGAUUUUGCAGCUAAAUGUGUAACUAUUGGUUGUGGUGUUGCCUCUGCUGGCAAGGAAGGUUUUGCAGCCAAAUGUGUAACCAUUGGUUGUGGUGUUGCCUCCGCUGCCAAAUGUGUAGCCGGUAUUGCCUGUGGUGCUGCCCUGGCCUGUGGCGAAGGUUUUGCAGCCAAAUGUGUAGCUGGUAUUGCCUGUGGUGAAGGUUUUGCAGCCAAAUGUAAUGCCAGAAUUGCUUGUGGUGCCACCUCGGCAUGUGAUGAAGAUUUUGCAGCCACCGCCUGUGGGGUCUUCUCCACUGAGGAUGAAGGUUUUGCAGCCAAAUGAGCAGCCAUUGGUGGCGGUGUCGAUUCAGCUCGCACUGAUUUUGCAGCCACUAGCUCUGGUGCCUUCUCAGCCCUUGAUGAAGAUCUCGCAACUGAGUGUGCAGCCACUGGUUGUGGUGCCACUUCAACCUGUGACGAAGAUUUUGCAGUCAAAUGCGUAGACUUUGGCUGUGGUGCGUCCCCAGCUCGCAACAUAGAAUUUACUGCUUCCCUCACCUUCUCUACCACACCUAUACCAGGCUUUGCUCUGGGACUCAGUGCGUCAGACAACACCUGAGAAAGUGCUCUCUCAUCUUCACCUGGCUCAAACUUGUGCAUCAAGUACUCCUUUACUGAAACUCCUUUAUCCCAUAUCUGCUCAGUUCCUUUACUCAAACUUGGUGAUUGUGUAGCUAUUGGGUCAGAGCAUGUCGUUUUAAUUGUUAGGGAAGAAGCUUUUUUUGGAGUUGAUGGUGAAGAACGAGUUGAUGAGUUGGACGGAGAAGAGAUGGUGAGGCUCUGGAUCUUUGAAGCAAUAGCAUGAGUAGCAUCAGUAACAGUGGAAUAAACUGGUGCCAACUUCUCAGUCAUAGUUUCAGUUAGUGUCUUGUUUGGACUUGAAGGCUUAGCAACCUCCUUUUCUUGUAUUAUCUUCAUGGUACUAUUUGCAGUUGUAGUUUCAUUCGAUGUAUUGCUAUUACCAAUGGACGACUCAACGGCCAUUUGAGACAAUGUCUCUGGAGAGUUGGAAGGUUUUUCGUCGUGUCCAAAGGCAAGUUUUAUGGUAUUCGCUAAAGUAUGAUUCUCAGCAAUCACAGGAUCUGCUCGAGGAUGCUGCCUAGCAUUCUCUUUGCAGUCCUCUGGUGCGAGCUCUGAUUCAUACACUACAAAUGAAAGAAGGAUGCUGUUCAAGUUCAAAUCAACAAAUGGAAUUUAGAGCAUGUAAUGGAAAGAAGUUUUACUUGGGGCUCCAAGAUAUUCAGCAUCGACGCCUUCCUCCUCCUCUUCAUCCUCAUCCAAGUUAUAACCCCACGACGGUGUAAUGUUCUCAUCUUCACCGUGCCUCUUCUUGUUGCUGAGUGAGUUUCUCAAUUUCUUUGCUUUUUCCUUUACCUUGGUGAAAACUGAUUUCUUCUGAUGGUGAUCAAUAUCAUCUUCGAGGUCAUGGUCCUUUACGAGCACUGGAGAUGCGUUUGUUGGAGGCCAUCUUGAAGCCUCCCCAUCUGCACAUGGAAAUGGCUAAACUAUGUUAAUUCUGAAAAGCUAUAGUUUUCAAUGGAUUUGUUUAGAACAAAAUACACUUUCUCAGCUUGUGUGCUAUUGCUUGAGAUUUCAAUUGCAAAAGAAGUUGUCUAUUUUACUAAUAA